RNAcentral lists this ribosomal RNA (253 nucleotides) under uncultured bacterium. RNAcentral describes it as "partial 16S ribosomal RNA". It matches the Rfam family "Bacterial small subunit ribosomal RNA", at positions 524 to 776 of the family's 1533-position model. The record is from RNAcentral.
GACGGAGGGUGCAAGCGUUGUUCGGAAUUACUGGGCGUAAAGGGCGCGUAGGCGGUCUGUUAAGUUCGGUGUGAAAGCCCCCGGCUCACCUGGGGAACUGCGCCGGAAACCGACAGACUCGAGUACCGGAGAGGAGGAUGGAAUUCCUGGUGUAGCGGUGAAAUGCGUAGAUAUCAGGAGGAACACCGGUGGCGAAGGCGGGUCUCUGGGCCGAUACUGACGCUGAGGAGCGAAAGCGUGGGGAGCGAACAGG